This 424-nucleotide ribosomal RNA is filed under the name Leptotrichia sp. oral taxon 462. Its description in RNAcentral is "bacterial SSU rRNA". It matches the Rfam family "Bacterial small subunit ribosomal RNA", at positions 28 to 453 of the family's 1533-position model. The record is from RNAcentral. Lineage: Bacteria; Fusobacteriati; Fusobacteriota; Fusobacteriia; Fusobacteriales; Leptotrichiaceae.
GAUGAACGCUGACAGAAUGCUUAACACAUGCAAGUCUUUGGCGAAGCUGUGCUUGCACAGCCUAGCCAAGGCGGACGGGUGAGUAACGCGUAAGGAACUUGCCCUGCAGUCAGGGAUAACAGACGGAAACGACUGAUAAGACCUGGUAAAGUCAGGCGGACUCAUGUCCAGCCUGAUGAAAAGAGAUGCUGCAGGAGAGCCUUGCGUCCUAUUAGCUUGUUGGUGGGGUAACGGCCCACCAAGGCGAUGAUAGGUAGCCGGCCUGAGAGGGUGGACGGCCACAAGGGGACUGAGAUACGGCCCUUACUCCUACGGGAGGCAGCAGUGGGGAAUAUUGGACAAUGGGGGCAACCCUGAUCCAGCAAUUCUGUGUGCACGAUGAAGGUUUUCGGAUUGUAAAGUGCUUUCAGCAGGGAAGAAAAAA